GGGCUUACACAUGCAGUCGCACGCGCAGCCGGUCCUUCGGGACCGGUGGGCGAGUGGCGACCGGGUGAGUAACGCGUAGACAAUCUUCCCUUGAGUGGGGGAUAACCACCGGAAACGGUGGCUAAUACCGCACGAAGUCCUAGAACCGCAUGGUUCAUGGACCAAAGGCUUCGGCCGCUCUUGGAUGAGUCUGCGUCGGAUUAGCUAGUUGGUGAGGUAACUGCUCACCAAGGCGAUGAUCCGUAGCUGGUCUGAGAGGAUGAUCAGUCACACUGGCACUGAGACACGGGCCAGACUCCUACGGGAGGCAGCAGUGAGGAAUCUUGCGCAAUGGGGGAAACCCUGACGCAGCCACGCCGCGUGGAGGAAGACACCCCUAUGGGGCGUAAACUCCUUUUCUGCGGGAAGAACCCCGGGGUAUGCCCCGGCUGACGGUACCGCAGGAACAAGGGCCGGCUAACUCCGUGCCAGCAGCCGCGGUAAUACGGAGGGCCCAAGCGUUGUCCGGAAUUAUUGGGUGUAAAGGGUCCGCAGGCGGGACAGUAAGUCGGAGGUGAAAGCCCUCGGCUCAACCGAGGAAUUGCCUUCGAUACUGCUGUUCUUGAGUCCCGGAGAGGCCACCGGAAUUCGUGGUGUAGCGGUGAAAUGCGUAGAUAUCACGAGGAACACCAGAAGUGAAAACGGGUGGCUGGACGGGUACUGACGCUCAGGGACGAAAGCGUGGG
RNAcentral lists this ribosomal RNA (725 nucleotides) under uncultured bacterium. RNAcentral's name for it is "bacterial SSU rRNA". It matches the Rfam family "Bacterial small subunit ribosomal RNA", at positions 44 to 765 of the family's 1533-position model. The record is from RNAcentral.